UACGUAGGGGGCGAGCGUUGUCCGGAUUUAUUGGGCGUAAAGAGCGUGUAGGCGGCCAGGUAGGUCUGCUGUGAAAACUCGAGGCUCAACCUCGAGACGUCGGCGGAAACCAUCUGGCUAGAGUCCGGAAGAGGAGAGUGGAAUUCCUGGUGUAGCGGUGAAAUGCGCAGAUAUCAGGAGGAACACCAAUUGCGAAGGCAGCUCGCUGGGACGUUUACUGACGCUGAGACGCGAAAGCGUGGGGAGCAAACAGG
Molecule: ribosomal RNA, 254 nt
Filed under: uncultured bacterium
Lineage: Bacteria
Description: partial 16S ribosomal RNA
Rfam family: Bacterial small subunit ribosomal RNA
Source: RNAcentral